AACGAACGCUGGCGGCAUGCCUAACACAUGCAAGUCGAACGAUCCCUUCGGGGAUAGUGGCGCACGGGUGCGUAACGCCUGGGAACCUGCCCUUAGGUUCGGAAUAACUCAGAGAAAUUUGAGCUAAUACCGGAUAAUGUCUUCGGACCAAAGAUUUAUCGCCUUUGGAUGGGCCCGCGUUGGAUUAGCUAGUUGGUGGGGUAAAGGCCUACCAAGGCGACGAUCCAUAGCUGGUCUGAGAGGAUGAUCAGCCACACUGGGACUGAGACACGGCCCAGACUCCUACGGGAGGCAGCAGUGGGGAAUAUUGGACAAUGGGCGAAAGCCUGAUCCAGCAAUGCCGCGUGAGUGAUGAAGGCCUUAGGGUUGUAAAGCUCUUUUACCCGGGAUGAUAAUGACAGUACCGGGAGAAUAAGCCCCGGCUAACUCCGUG
Molecule: ribosomal RNA, 433 nt
Filed under: uncultured bacterium
Lineage: Bacteria
Description: partial 16S ribosomal RNA
Rfam family: Bacterial small subunit ribosomal RNA
Source: RNAcentral